RNAcentral lists this ribosomal RNA (391 nucleotides) under uncultured bacterium. RNAcentral describes it as "bacterial SSU rRNA". It matches the Rfam family "Bacterial small subunit ribosomal RNA", at positions 30 to 424 of the family's 1533-position model. The record is from RNAcentral.
AUUGAACGCUGGCGGCAUGCCUUACACAUGCAAGUCGAACGGCAGCGGGCCUUCGGGUGCCGGCGAGUGGCGAACGGUGAGUAAUGCAUCGGAACGUGCCAUUGAGUGGGGGAUAACGUAGCGAAAGUUACGCUAAUACCGCAUAUUCUGUGAGCAGGAAAGCAGGGGACCGCAAGGCCUUGCGCUCUUUGAGCGGCCGAUGUCAGAUUAGCUAGUUGGUGAGGUAAAGGCUUACCAAGGCGACGAUCUGUAGCGGGUCUGAGAGGAUGAUCCGCCACACUGGAACUGAGACACGGUCCAGACUCCUACGGGAGGCAGCAGUGGGGAAUUUUGGACAAUGGGCGCAAGCCUGAUCCAGCCAUGCCGCGUGAGUGAAGAAGGCCUUCGGUGU